AUGUUAUCUGAAAUAGCAUGAAACAAAUUCGCCCCGAACCUACUUUCCUUGCCCACCACAGUUUCCGGAGACACUGUGACAUUGAAAACCUAACCAGAAGGCUGCAGUCAUGUCAGGAGACUUUGUUGAUGAGAGAGUAGCCAACUACAAGGGCUUGCAGUUCUACUUCAACUCCUACACAAAGAGAGGCAGGCUAAACUGGGUCAUGGCUACAUACGGAACCCUCUUCGGCUAUUACUUGUUCAGCAAAUUACGGAAACCCAAGGCACCAGUUGCAGCCAAGAAAUAACUAGGCAGCCAUUUAGGAUGAAUAUUUGUGUACAUGAAUUGUGCAGUGAUAUGUAGACAGGCUGGUGAAGUGACCCCCAUUUGUCAUCAAGCAUUUGUGAACAUGGCUGUAGUAUAUUGUGUCUCACAUUUUGAAAAUUGGAGGUAAAACCAUCUUGUUUAUCAGCUUUGUUGCAUUAUAAAAAGUUGUAUGAAUAAAAUAUUAUCAAUUUGAUUGGUUAA
This is a long non-coding RNA of Haliotis rubra (blacklip abalone), 510 nucleotides long. RefSeq lists it as uncharacterized. The transcript has 3 exons. The record is from RefSeq and is a predicted model, not a curated record. Lineage: Eukaryota; Metazoa; Mollusca; Gastropoda; Lepetellida; Haliotidae.